RNAcentral lists this ribosomal RNA (492 nucleotides) under uncultured bacterium. Its description in RNAcentral is "partial 16S ribosomal RNA". It matches the Rfam family "Bacterial small subunit ribosomal RNA", at positions 29 to 507 of the family's 1533-position model. The record is from RNAcentral.
AGUGAACGCUGGCGGUAUGCCUAACACAUGCAAGUCGAACGGCAGCACAGUAAGAGCUUGCUCUUACGGUUGGCGAGUGGCGGACGGGUGAGGAAUACAUCGGACUCUACUUUUUCGUGGGGGAUAACGUAGGGAAACUUACGCUAAUACCGCAUACGACCUACGGGUGAAAGCAGGGGAUCUUCGGACCUUGCGCGAUUGAAUGAGCCGAUCUCGGAUUAGCUAGUUGGCGGGGUAAAGGCCCACCAAGGCGACGAUCCGUAGCUGGUCUGAGAGGAUGAUCAGCCACACUGGAACUGAGACACGGUCCAGACUCCUACGGGAGGCAGCAGUGGGGAAUAUUGGACAAUGGGCGCAAGCCUGAUCCAGCCAUACCGCGUGGGUGAAGAAGGCCUUCGGGUUGUAAAGCCCUUUUGUUGGGAAAGAAAAGCAGCAGGUUAAUACCCCGCUGUUCUGACGGUACCCAAAGAAUAAGCACCGGCUAACUUCGUG